CCUGGCGGCCAUAGCGCGGUGGCACCACCUGAUCCCAUGCCGAACUCAGAAGUGAAACGCCGUAGCGCCGAUGGUAGUGUGGGGUCUCCCCAUGCGAGAGUAGGACACUGCCAGGC
This 116-nucleotide ribosomal RNA is filed under the name Yersinia enterocolitica. Lineage: Bacteria; Pseudomonadati; Pseudomonadota; Gammaproteobacteria; Enterobacterales; Yersiniaceae. The record is from RNAcentral.